This is a long non-coding RNA of Anneissia japonica, 847 nucleotides long. RefSeq lists it as uncharacterized. The record is from RefSeq and is a predicted model, not a curated record. Lineage: Eukaryota; Metazoa; Echinodermata; Crinoidea; Comatulida; Comatulidae. The transcript has 2 exons.
GGACGUCUGAGAUUAAACAUUGAACUUAGUACUAUGGGGGUUUUUUCAUGUAAAUUCCACUGCCAUUGUUGGUAAAUAAGGAAAUUGUUGGUUCCAAAAUAUUUAAACGUGUUGAGAAAACAUUUGUAUUCAUUGCCGACUGUCAAGCCUGAAUCAUGAAGAAGUUUAUACUGCUAGUUUUUGUCACCAUUAUGGUGAUACUUUAUGCGAGGUCUAGCCAGGCCUGCUCCAGAAUUCCGGAUCCUGACCCUGUAACAGAACCACCAGAAACACACCCACUACCAGAAGGAACAACACCACCACCGCCACCAGAUGGAUCGGGACCAACACCGCAAAGAACACCACCAAAUGGUUUUAGGCGGUAGAUCAACAGCAGGACUCCAUGCCUCAGGAGUGGCUUCUACAAUACUUUCACUACGGUAUUCCAGGAAAAGAUGUUCCUCAGAUGAUACACUUCCAUUAAAGGCGUUGUUAACGGUAUCCAGCAAUCUAUAGUCAUGUGAUCUGAUCGAACCAAUCAGAAAUCUACAAUAUAAUUAAAGAUUGGCCUAUUGAAAAUGUAUGUUAACCCAAUAUAGCAAAAAAGGUGAUGAGAAAUUAUAACUAUAUUAUUAUUUCAUAAUGUACUCAGUAUAUGAUUUAUUUUGUAAGCGUCAUAUAGAAAUUAUUACAAUGGAAGACUGUUGCCUUAGCAUUGAUUGUCUACAGCAUGAAUGGAAGACUCGAGCGUAAGGAUUUCACGAGUCACAGAUAAAAUAGCUAAAGGUGAUUUUAAUACACAGAUUUCCAAUUUUAUAGAUUUUAUUAUGGUUUUGGGCAAUAAAUGAUGUUGAAUAUAUACUCUAAA